RNAcentral lists this ribosomal RNA (406 nucleotides) under uncultured microorganism. RNAcentral describes it as "bacterial SSU rRNA". It matches the Rfam family "Bacterial small subunit ribosomal RNA", at positions 9 to 412 of the family's 1533-position model. The record is from RNAcentral.
GAGUUUGAUCCUGGCUCAGAUUGAACGCUGGCGGCAUGCCUUACACAUGCAAGUCGAACGGCAGCAUGAUCUAGCUUGCUAGAUUGAUGGCGAGUGGCGAACGGGUGAGUAAUACAUCGGAACGUGCCCUGUAGUGGGGGAUAACUAGUCGAAAGAUUAGCUAAUACCGCAUACGACCUGAGGGUGAAAGUGGGGGACCGCAAGGCCUCAUGCUAUAGGAGCGGCCGAUGUCUGAUUAGCUAGUUGGUGGGGUAAAGGCCCACCAAGGCGACGAUCAGUAGCUGGUCUGAGAGGACGAUCAGCCACACUGGGACUGAGACACGGCCCAGACUCCUACGGGAGGCAGCAGUGGGGAAUUUGGACAAUGGGCGAAAGCCUGAUCCAGCAAUGCCGCGUGUGUGAAGAA